RNAcentral lists this ribosomal RNA (497 nucleotides) under uncultured bacterium. RNAcentral describes it as "partial 16S ribosomal RNA". It matches the Rfam family "Bacterial small subunit ribosomal RNA", at positions 28 to 507 of the family's 1533-position model. The record is from RNAcentral.
GGUGAACGCUGGCGGCGUGCCUAAUACAUGCAAGUCGAGCGGACAGACAUGGAGCUUGCUCUUCUGCGGUUAGCGGCGGACGGGUGAGUAACACGUGGAUAACCUGCCUGUAAGACUGGGAUAACUUCGGGAAACCGGAGCUAAUACCGGAUAAUACCGCCAACCGCAUGGUCCACGGGUGAAAGGCGGCUUUUCCGCUACUUAUAGCCGGUGUGGCGCCGGAUUAGCUAGUUGGUAAGGUAACGGCUUACCAAGGAAACGAUGCGUAGCUGACCUGAUGGGGUGAUCGGCCACACUGGAACUGAGACACGGUCCAGCCUCCUACGGGAGGCAGCAGUGGGGAAUCUGCGGCAAUGGGCGAAAGCCUGAGGGAGCACUACCGCGUGGGUGAUGAAGGCCUUCGGAUCGUAAACCCCUGUUAUUAGGACAGAACAGCUGCGUACGAAUAUAUCGGCGUCUUGACGGUACCUCACGAGAAAGCCCCGGCUAACUACGUG